CAGUCGAGCGAAUGGAUUAAGAGCUUGCUCUUAUGAAGUUAGCGGCGGACGGGUGAGUAACACGUGGGUAACCUGCCCAUAAGACUGGGAUAACUCCGGGAAACCGGGGCUAAUACCGGAUAACAUUUUGAACCGCAUGGUUCGAAAUUGAAAGGCGGCUUCGGCUGUCACUUAUGGAUGGACCCGCGUCGCAUUAGCUAGUUGGUGAGGUAACGGCUCACCAAGGCAACGAUGCGUAGCCGACCUGAGAGGGUGAUCGGCCACACUGGGACUGAGACACGGCCCAGACUCCUACGGGAGGCAGCAGUAGGGAAUCUUCCGCAAUGGACGAAAGUCUGACGGAGCAACGCCGCGUGAGUGAUGAAGGCUUUCGGGUCGUAAAACUCUGUUGUUAGGGAAGAACAAGUGCUAGUUGAAUAAGCUGGCACCUUGACGGUACCUAACCAGAAAGCCACGGCUAACUACGUGCCAGCAGCCGCGGUAAUACGUAGGUGGCAAGCGUUAUCCGGAAUUAUUGGGCGUAAAGCGCGCGCAGGUGGUUUCUUAAGUCUGAUGUGAAAGCCCACGGCUCAACCGUGGAGGGUCAUUGGAAACUGGGAGACUUGAGUGCAGAAGAGGAAAGUGGAAUUCCAUGUGUAGCGGUGAAAUGCGUAGAGAUAUGGAGGAACACCAGUGGCGAAGGCGACUUUCUGGUCUGUAACUGACACUGAGGCGCGAAAGCGUGGGGAGCAAACAGG
This 737-nucleotide ribosomal RNA is filed under the name Bacillus thuringiensis. RNAcentral's name for it is "bacterial SSU rRNA". It matches the Rfam family "Bacterial small subunit ribosomal RNA", at positions 59 to 776 of the family's 1533-position model. The record is from RNAcentral. Lineage: Bacteria; Bacillati; Bacillota; Bacilli; Caryophanales; Bacillaceae.